This 253-nucleotide ribosomal RNA is filed under the name uncultured bacterium. RNAcentral describes it as "partial 16S ribosomal RNA". It matches the Rfam family "Bacterial small subunit ribosomal RNA", at positions 524 to 776 of the family's 1533-position model. The record is from RNAcentral.
UACGGAGGGUGCGAGCGUUAAUCGGAAUUACUGGGCGUAAAGCGCACGUAGGCGGUCAGGCAGGUCGGGUGUGAAAGCCCUGGGCUCAACCUGGGAAUUGCAUUCGAAACUAUCUGACUCGAGUAUGGGAGAGGGAAGCGGAAUUUCCGGUGUAGCGGUGAAAUGCGUAGAUAUCGGAAGGAACACCAGUGGCGAAGGCGGCUUCCUGGACUAAUACUGACGCUGAGGUGCGAAAGCGUGGGGAGCAAACAGG